GUCACUAGAGCUCAGGAAGGACACGUCAGCAGAUUCUCCACACAGAUGUCUGGAAAUCAGCCCACAGAUCAACAACAGACUAGACCUCUUGAAAACAGAGUCAGGCAGCAUGGAGGUCCCUGCGGUCACACUUUCAUGCAAAAGUUGCUGAAAAAGUUGCUUGUUGCACUUCCGAAAUGUGUUUGCUGCACCUCUGAAGCAAGUGAAAUUUAAUUUCACUGCUGGUUAUGCCCCUGGAUGUCAUGUCAACUCAAACUCUCUAGACCCACUCUUCAUGUCAAGAUAUGAGAAAGGGUCUGGUGUUGUUGGUAGGCCAUCCUGGACGACAGUGAAACAGUACACCUCCCACUUUUUGAAGACAUUCACAGAGAGACUGGGAGUCAGGGUGAGUCGUACAUCUUUUGUUUGUUUGCGUACAAGUACUAAGUGUACAGUCUACACAUAUUGCUUUUAUGUCUAUGCUACUCUUGUCUGCGUACUGUCCCUAUAUGUUGCUUUUUGCUCUUAUGACUGUGUUCAAGGCGACAACUAAAACACAGCAGUUUGUUAUCCGAGUACGACUCUAUGCUGAUGAUGCUGCUCUCUGUGCAUCAUCUCCGGAUCAGCUUUGCUGAAUCAUGUGACCAGUUCGGGCUUACCAUCAGCCUGAAGAAAACUGUCACCAUGUCACAGGCCGCUGACUCACACAUUCACAAUAAAUAAAAAAGAUGGAAAAGUA
Alosa sapidissima (American shad) is the source of this 718-nucleotide long non-coding RNA. RefSeq lists it as uncharacterized. The transcript has 2 exons. NCBI's taxonomy places the organism in Eukaryota, Metazoa, Chordata, Actinopteri, Clupeiformes, Clupeidae. The record is from RefSeq and is a predicted model, not a curated record.